Helianthus annuus (common sunflower) is the source of this 450-nucleotide long non-coding RNA. RefSeq lists it as uncharacterized. The transcript has 2 exons. The record is from RefSeq and is a predicted model, not a curated record. Lineage: Eukaryota; Viridiplantae; Streptophyta; Magnoliopsida; Asterales; Asteraceae.
CAAACAAUGCUGGAGCUUUACUAGUGGUUGGUAGAGGACUUGUGGUUGUUCCAAAACUGAUUCACCCGUUGCCACCGCCACUUCACUCACCAGAAACAUCUCCGGAACAGGUUCAAGAUGAUACGUGGAUGCAGGAGCUUAAUAAUCAGAGACCACCAACUCCAACCAGGGGCCGAUCCAAGCCUAACUAUGACAGGAACUCACUUGCAUAUAUAUGAAUGGUGAUAUGAUUUCGGGAUUUUGGUUAAGUUGUCAGGUGGCACAAAAGAUCAAGAUUACUUUUGUGUUUAUCGGACAAAAUUACAAGUGAUAUAUUUAAAGUACAUAUAGCCUUGUUACAGUGGUGGUAGAUUACCAAUCUAUUGAUGGGUGUCUUGUUUAUUAUUGGAAUAAAUUACAUUACCAGACUUGGAUUCCAAAUGAGAGUAAUUGAAGAUGUUCUUGAUUGAA